RNAcentral lists this ribosomal RNA (1091 nucleotides) under Bacillus stratosphericus. RNAcentral describes it as "bacterial SSU rRNA". It matches the Rfam family "Bacterial small subunit ribosomal RNA", at positions 21 to 1094 of the family's 1533-position model. Lineage: Bacteria; Bacillati; Bacillota; Bacilli; Caryophanales; Bacillaceae. The record is from RNAcentral.
GGCUCAGGACGAACGCUGGCGGCGUGCCUAAUACAUGCAAGUCGAGCGGACAGAAGGGAGCUUGCUCCCGGAUGUUAGCGGCGGACGGGUGAGUAACACGUGGGUAACCUGCCUGUAAGACUGGGAUAACUCCGGGAAACCGGAGCUAAUACCGGAUAGUUCCUUGAACCGCAUGGUUCAAGGAUGAAAGACGGUUUCGGCUGUCACUUACAGAUGGACCCGCGGCGCAUUAGCUAGUUGGUGAGGUAACGGCUCACCAAGGCGACGAUGCGUAGCCGACCUGAGAGGGUGAUCGGCCACACUGGGACUGAGACACGGCCCAGACUCCUACGGGAGGCAGCAGUAGGGAAUCUUCCGCAAUGGACGAAAGUCUGACGGAGCAACGCCGCGUGAGUGAUGAAGGUUUUCGGAUCGUAAAGCUCUGUUGUUAGGGAAGAACAAGUGCAAGAGUAACUGCUUGCACCUUGACGGUACCUAACCAGAAAGCCACGGCUAACUACGUGCCAGCAGCCGCGGUAAUACGUAGGUGGCAAGCGUUGUCCGGAAUUAUUGGGCGUAAAGGGCUCGCAGGCGGUUUCUUAAGUCUGAUGUGAAAGCCCCCGGCUCAACCGGGGAGGGUCAUUGGAAACUGGGAAACUUGAGUGCAGAAGAGGAGAGUGGAAUUCCACGUGUAGCGGUGAAAUGCGUAGAGAUGUGGAGGAACACCAGUGGCGAAGGCGACUCUCUGGUCUGUAACUGACGCUGAGGAGCGAAAGCGUGGGGAGCGAACAGGAUUAGAUACCCUGGUAGUCCACGCCGUAAACGAUGAGUGCUAAGUGUUAGGGGGUUUCCGCCCCUUAGUGCUGCAGCUAACGCAUUAAGCACUCCGCCUGGGGAGUACGGUCGCAAGACUGAAACUCAAAGGAAUUGACGGGGGCCCGCACAAGCGGUGGAGCAUGUGGUUUAAUUCGAAGCAACGCGAAGAACCUUACCAGGUCUUGACAUCCUCUGACAACCCUAGAGAUAGGGCUUUCCCUUCGGGGACAGAGUGACAGGUGGUGCAUGGUUGUCGUCAGCUCGUGUCGUGAGAUGUUGGGUUAAGUCCCGCAACG